This 253-nucleotide ribosomal RNA is filed under the name uncultured bacterium. RNAcentral's name for it is "partial 16S ribosomal RNA". It matches the Rfam family "Bacterial small subunit ribosomal RNA", at positions 524 to 776 of the family's 1533-position model. The record is from RNAcentral.
UACGUAGGGUGCGAGCGUUAAUCGGAAUUACUGGGCGUAAAGGGUGCGCAGGCGGUUUUGUAAGUCAGAUGUGAAAUCCCCGGGCUCAACCUGGGAAUGGCAUUUGGGACUGCAAGGCUAGAGUGUGGCAGAGGAGACUGGAAUUCCUGGUGUAGCAGUGAAAUGCGUAGAUAUCAGGAGGAAUACCGAUGGCGAAGGCAGGUCUCUGGGUUAACACUGACGCUCAUGCACGAAAGCGUGGGGAGCAAACAGG